ACUGAUUUCUGGCCAGCUGCCGUGGGAAUACGGAUGAGUCGAGUGUUAUCCGGAUUGAUUGGGUGUAAAGGGUGCGUAGGUGGUUUGAUAAGUCAUCGGUGAAAGUUUGCAGCUUAACUGUAAAAAUGCCGUUGAAACUGUCGGACGUGAGUGUAAAUGAGGUAGGCGGAAUGCGUGGUGUAGCGGUGAAAUGCAUAGAUAUCACGCAGAACUCCGAUUGCGAAGGCAGCUUACUAAGCUACAACUGACACUGAAGCACGAAAGCGUGGGGAUCAAACAGGAUUAGAUACCCCAGUAGUC
This 300-nucleotide ribosomal RNA is filed under the name uncultured Lactobacillus sp. Its description in RNAcentral is "bacterial SSU rRNA". It matches the Rfam family "Bacterial small subunit ribosomal RNA", at positions 496 to 795 of the family's 1533-position model. Lineage: Bacteria; Bacillati; Bacillota; Bacilli; Lactobacillales; Lactobacillaceae. The record is from RNAcentral.